UACGUAGGGUGCAAGCGUUGUCCGGAAUUAUUGGGCGUAAAGAGCUCGUAGGCGGUCUGUCGCGUCGGAUGUGAAAACCCAGGGCUCAACCCUGGGCCUGCAUUCGAUACGGGCAGACUAGAGUUCGGUAGGGGAGACUGGAAUUCCUGGUGUAGCGGUGAAAUGCGCAGAUAUCAGGAGGAACACCGGUGGCGAAGGCUGGUCACUGGCCCGGUACUGACGCUGAGGUGCGAAAGCGUGGGGAGCAAACAGG
RNAcentral lists this ribosomal RNA (253 nucleotides) under uncultured bacterium. Its description in RNAcentral is "partial 16S ribosomal RNA". It matches the Rfam family "Bacterial small subunit ribosomal RNA", at positions 524 to 776 of the family's 1533-position model. The record is from RNAcentral.